This 438-nucleotide ribosomal RNA is filed under the name Fusobacterium periodonticum. RNAcentral describes it as "bacterial SSU rRNA". It matches the Rfam family "Bacterial small subunit ribosomal RNA", at positions 28 to 491 of the family's 1533-position model. Lineage: Bacteria; Fusobacteriati; Fusobacteriota; Fusobacteriia; Fusobacteriales; Fusobacteriaceae. The record is from RNAcentral.
GAUGAACGCUGACAGAAUGCUUAACACAUGCAAGUCUACUUGAACUUCGGUUUGGGUGGCGGACGGGUGAGUAACGCGUAAAGAACUUGCCUCACAGUUAGGGACAACAUUUGGGAACGAAUGCUAAUACCUGAUAUUAUGAUUUUAGGGCAUCCUAAGAUUAUGAAAGCUAUAUGCGCUGUGAGAGAGCUUUGCGUCCCAUUAGCUAGUUGGAGAGGUAACGGCUCACCAAGGCGAUGAUGGGUAGCCGGCCUGAGAGGGUGAACGGCCACAAGGGGACUGAGACACGGCCCUUACUCCUACGGGAGGCAGCAGUGGGGAAUAUUGGACAAUGGACAAAAAGUCUGAUCCAGCAAUUCUGUGUGCACGAUGACGUUUUUCGGAAUGUAAAGUGCUUUCAGUUGGGAAGAAAAAAAUGACGGUACCAACAGAAGAGGU